This is a long non-coding RNA of Vespula vulgaris, 686 nucleotides long. RefSeq lists it as uncharacterized. NCBI's taxonomy places the organism in Eukaryota, Metazoa, Arthropoda, Insecta, Hymenoptera, Vespidae. The record is from RefSeq and is a predicted model, not a curated record. The transcript has 2 exons.
AAGAAUGGAAUACAGACAUGCAAGUAGCAGAAGCGUCAAUAGACCACAAAAUAUAAAUAUUUCCAAACCUGGGCCCUGUUUAAAAGAAAGCAAUUGAAAAAAUUCAAAUAUAUAUACGAACAUCUCUUAUGAAAAUGUGCUGAAGUCGCCCCUAAAACAUUUCCUACUUAUUUUGGGAUAUCCUGUAAAAUUGCAUAGAACAUAUUUAAUGAAUCGUUUACCUCAUGGCCAAAAGAAAAUUUUGCUGCUACAACAAAUCCUGUUGCCAAUACAAAUGUAAUCCAAACUCCACAACGUAAUCUAUAACCUGCCAGUUCAGCAUCACUGAAUUCGGAUAAAUCUAAAAUACUUCUGUUUGUACCACUUGCAACUGUAUUAGACAAUAUUAAUUGGUUGUUCCCAGCAUUGGUUACAUUACUGUAAUUAUAAAAAAUUAUAUAAUUACAGUAUUCACAUAAGAUUUUUUAAAUAUCUAACAAAUAAAUUAUUUUAACAUAAGCUCUAUAAUGGUUAAAUCGUUUAUAAGUACUUUCUGUCGAUAGGCAUGUAUAAGUGAGUCACCCUGUAUAUAAGAAGAACAUGUUCCUCAGGAUCUUCCUAAUGAACCUCCUUUGAUUAUUGAUUCUUUAAGUAGAAGUGUUGUACAGAAUUGAUUGAUAAUAAAUUUUACGAUUCAUUGCUCCUAA